Long non-coding RNA from Seriola dumerili (greater amberjack), 756 nucleotides. RefSeq lists it as uncharacterized. The record is from RefSeq and is a predicted model, not a curated record. Lineage: Eukaryota; Metazoa; Chordata; Actinopteri; Carangiformes; Carangidae. The transcript has 3 exons.
AACCUAUUGGUUUAUGACAAUUUAAAGCUGGAUGCAUAGGAUUUAAAAUUUCUCAUCACUCAAAUAAUCUGAAAGAUGUGAUAAUCACAUAAAGUUUGUGCCUUCACUAUUAAUAUCUCUCCAUGUAGAUAGUUUUAGUUUUACUUCAGGUCCAAGAGUCUUUUAAAACUGUUGAAAAUUAAUCCUGGAUCCUACAGUUCCCAUAAUGCAACCAAAAGUACAUUUCAUAAAUGUCCACCUAACACACCCUCAGUUGGUAACACUGAGUUUCUGUUCAAUUUUGUUUAAAUCUUAAGCAACAGAUUGUAAACUCAGAUCUAAUCUGAUGGUUUUCACUGUGACUGUGAUUAAUAUUACAACCCUUGUGUAAAUCAUUUACUUUUUGUGUUGUAUAAGGACUAGAAACCAAAAGUAAACCAACAACGUGGCCUUAUCUUGUCCAUGCGUCCAUUGACUCUACCUGUCAGAGAUAGUUUUUGAUUCACAAAGCAACAAGUGAAACAUUUUGGAUGUAAAAAACUCCCACUGCUUUGUAGGUGAAAUGCCUGAGCGGAAGAAGAAGCGUCCUCCCCUCACAGGGCCUCACAGCUCCUCCCCUGUGACAUCUGACAAGUCAUCUGAUCAGAAGAUCAGUUCCUGGAUCGAGCCGUCAGUCAGUUCACAGAUGAGUGCAAAUGGGUCCAAGAGUCCCAGCGGUGUCUCCAUGAAGAGUGAUGGAUCCAUGUACAGGCCAACUACCUUUGGUGUUAAGAAGUC